RNAcentral lists this ribosomal RNA (465 nucleotides) under uncultured bacterium. RNAcentral describes it as "partial 16S ribosomal RNA". It matches the Rfam family "Bacterial small subunit ribosomal RNA", at positions 339 to 795 of the family's 1533-position model. The record is from RNAcentral.
CUACGGGUCGCACCAGUGAGGAAUUUUGCGCAAUGGGGGCAACCCUGACGCAGCAACGCCGCGUGAGUGAAGAAGGCCUUUGGGUCGUAAAGCUCUGUCAACAGGGAAGAAGUUACUUCAUAUUAAUAGUAUGUAGUAUUGACGGUACCUGUGGAGGAAGCAUCGGCUAACUCCGUGCCAGCAGCCGCGGUAAUACGGGGGAUGCAAGCGUUAUUCGGAAUCAUUGGGCGUAAAGGGCACGCAGGCGGCUCUGUCAGUCAGAUGUGAAAGCCCGGGGCUCAACCCCGGACGUGCAUUUGAAACAGCAGAGCUUGAGUACGGUAGAGGAAAGCGGAAUUCCUGGUGUAGAGGUGAAAUUCGUAGAUAUCAGGAGGAACACCGGUGGCGAAGGCGGCUUUCUGGACCGAAACUGACGCUGAGGUGCGAAGGCGUGGGUAGCGAACAGGAUUAGAUACCCGCGUAGUC